UAAAUGGUUUCAGUACCGCGUGGUGAGG
This 28-nucleotide small RNA is filed under the name Bombyx mori (domestic silkworm). RNAcentral's name for it is "ovarian small RNA-18496". Lineage: Eukaryota; Metazoa; Arthropoda; Insecta; Lepidoptera; Bombycidae. The record is from RNAcentral.